AGUGAACGCUGGCGGUAGGCCUAACACAUGCAAGUCGAACGGCAGCACAGUAAGAGCUUGCUCUUACGGGUGGCGAGUGGCGGACGGGUGAGGAAUACAUCGGAAUCUACUUUUUCGUGGGGGAUAACGUAGGGAAACUUACGCUAAUACCGCAUACGACCUACGGGUGAAAGCAGGGGAUCUUCGGACCUUGCGCGAUUGAAUGAGCCGAUGUCGGAUUAGCUAGUUGGCGGGGUAAAGGCCCACCAAGGCGACGAUCCGUAGCUGGUCUGAGAGGAUGAGCAGCCACACUGAAACUGAGACACGGUCCAGACUCCUACGGGAGGCAGCAGUGGGGAAUAUUGGAAAAUGGGCGCAAGCCUGAUCCAGCCGUACCGCGUGGGUGAAGAAGGCCUUCGGGUUGUAAAGCCCUUUUGUUGGGAAAGAAAAGCAGCAGGUUAAUACCCCGCUGUUCUGACGGUACCCAAAGAAUAAGCACCGGCUAACUUCGU
This 491-nucleotide ribosomal RNA is filed under the name uncultured bacterium. Its description in RNAcentral is "partial 16S ribosomal RNA". It matches the Rfam family "Bacterial small subunit ribosomal RNA", at positions 29 to 506 of the family's 1533-position model. The record is from RNAcentral.